RNAcentral lists this ribosomal RNA (1369 nucleotides) under metagenome. Its description in RNAcentral is "bacterial SSU rRNA". It matches the Rfam family "Bacterial small subunit ribosomal RNA". The record is from RNAcentral.
GAACGCUGGCGGCGUGCCUAACACAUGCAAGUCGAGCGAGUGGAUCUCCUUCGGGAGUGAAGCUAGCGGCGGACGGGUGAGUAACACGUGGGCAACCUGCCUCAUAGAGGGGAAUAGCCUUUCGAAAGGAAGAUUAAUACCGCAUAAGAUUGCAGCUUCGCAUGAAGUAGCAAUUAAAGGAGCAAUCCGCUAUGAGAUGGGCCCGCGGCGCAUUAGCUAGUUGGUGAGGUAACGGCUCACCAAGGCGACGAUGCGUAGCCGACCUGAGAGGGUGAUCGGCCACAUUGGGACUGAGACACGGCCCAGACUCCUACGGGAGGCAGCAGUGGGGAAUAUUGCACAAUGGGGGAAACCCUGAUGCAGCAACGCCGCGUGAGUGAUGACGGCCUUCGGGUUGUAAACCUCUGUCUUCGGGGACGAAACGAGACGGUACCCGAGGAGGAAGCCACGGCUAACUACGUGCCAGCAGCCGCGGUAAUACGUAGGUGGCAAGCGUUGUCCGGAAUUACUGGGUGUAAAGGGAGCGUAGGCGGGCAGGCAAGUCAGGCGUGAAAUAUAUCGGCUCAACCGGUAACGGCGCUUGAAACUGCAGGUCUUGAGUGAAGUAGAGGUUGGCGGAAUUCCUAGUGUAGCGGUGAAAUGCGUAGAUAUUAGGAGGAACACCAGUGGCGAAGGCGGCCAACUGGGCUUUUACUGACGCUGAGGCUCGAAAGUGUGGGGAGCAAACAGGAUUAGAUACCCUGGUAGUCCACACCGUAAACGAUGAUUACUAGGUGUGGGGGGACUGACCCCUUCCGUGCCGGAGUUAACACAAUAAGUAAUCCACCUGGGGAGUACGGCCGCAAGGUUGAAACUCAAAGGAAUUGACGGGGGCCCGCACAAGCAGUGGAGUAUGUGGUUUAAUUCGACGCAACGCGAAGAACCUUACCAGGUCUUGACAUCGUAUGCAUAGUGUAGAGAUACACGAAGUCCUUCGGGACAUACAGACAGGUGGUGCAUGGUUGUCGUCAGCUCGUGUCGUGAGAUGUUGGGUUAAGUCCCGCAACGAGCGCAACCCUUGUAUUUAGUUGCUACGCAAGAGCACUCUAGAUAGACUGCCGUGGACAACACGGAGGAAGGUGGGGAUGACGUCAAAUCAUCAUGCCCCUUAUGACCUGGGCUACACACGUACUACAAUGGCAAUAGAACAGAGGGAAGCGACUCAGCGAUGAGAAGCAGAUCCCGAAAAAUUGUCUCAGUUCGGAUUGCAGGCUGCAACCCGCCUGCAUGAAGUCGGAAUUGCUAGUAAUCGCGGAUCAGCAUGCCGCGGUGAAUACGUUCCCGAGCCUUGUACACACCGCCCGUCACACCAUGGGAGUCGGUAACACCC